CAGUCGCCACGGUAAAACGUAGGGCGCAAGCGUUGUCCGGAAUUAUUGGGCGUAAAGAGCUCGUAGGCGGUCUGUCGCGUCUGGUGUGAAAUCCCGAGGCUCAACCUCGGGCUUGCAUCGGGUACGGGCAGACUAGAGUGCGGUAGGGGAGACUGGAAUUCCUGGUGUAGCGGUGGAAUGCGCAGAUAUCAGGAGGAACACCGAUGGCGAAGGCAGGUCUCUGGGCCGCAACUGACGCUGAGGAGCGAAAGCAUGGGGAGCGAACAGGAUUAGAUACCCCUGUAGUCCCUGUCUCUUAUAU
RNAcentral lists this ribosomal RNA (301 nucleotides) under uncultured bacterium. Its description in RNAcentral is "partial 16S ribosomal RNA". It matches the Rfam family "Bacterial small subunit ribosomal RNA", at positions 509 to 809 of the family's 1533-position model. The record is from RNAcentral.